This 86-nucleotide transfer RNA is filed under the name Methanobacteriota archaeon. Its description in RNAcentral is "Euryarchaeota archaeon (groundwater metagenome) tRNA-Leu". It matches the Rfam family "tRNA". Rfam says of the family: Transfer RNA (tRNA) molecules are approximately 80 nucleotides in length. Their secondary structure includes four short double-helical elements and three loops (D, anti-codon, and T loops). Further hydrogen bonds mediate the characteristic L-shaped molecular structure. tRNAs have two regions of fundamental functional importance: the anti-codon, which is responsible for specific mRNA codon recognition, and the 3' end, to which the tRNAs corresponding amino acid is attached (by aminoacyl-tRNA synthetases). tRNAs cope with the degeneracy of the genetic code in two manners: having more than one tRNA (with a specific anti-codon) for a particular amino acid; and 'wobble' base-pairing, i.e. permitting non-standard base-pairing at the 3rd anti-codon position. Lineage: Archaea; Methanobacteriati; Methanobacteriota. The record is from RNAcentral.
GCGGGGGUGUCCGAGUCUGGUCAAAGGAAACAGGCUUAGGACCUGUUAGCUUAGUGCUUGCGAGGGUUCAAAUCCCUUCCCCCGCA